This 252-nucleotide ribosomal RNA is filed under the name uncultured bacterium. RNAcentral's name for it is "partial 16S ribosomal RNA". It matches the Rfam family "Bacterial small subunit ribosomal RNA", at positions 524 to 776 of the family's 1533-position model. The record is from RNAcentral.
UACGUAGGGCGCAAGCGUUGUCCGGAAUUAUUGGGCGUAAAGAGCUCGUAGGCGGCCUGUUGCGUCCGCUGUGAAAUCCCGGGGCUCAACCCCGGGCCUGCAGUGGAUACGGGCUGGCUAGAGGCAGGCAGGGGAGAACGGAAUCCUGGUGUAGCGGUGGAAUGCGCAGAUAUCAGGAGGAACACCGGUGGCGAAGGCGGCCUGCUGGGCUAUGGCUGACACUGAGGCGCGACAGCGUGGGGAGCAAACAGG